Molecule: ribosomal RNA, 497 nt
Filed under: uncultured bacterium
Lineage: Bacteria
Description: partial 16S ribosomal RNA
Rfam family: Bacterial small subunit ribosomal RNA
Source: RNAcentral
GAUGAACGCUGGCGGCGUGCCUAACACAUGCAAGUCGAGCGAACAGACGAGGAGCUUGCUCCUCUGACGUUAGCGGCGGACGGGUGAGUAACACGUGUAUAACCUACCUAUAAGACUGGGAUAACUACGGGAAACCGGAGCUAAUACCGUAUAAUAUAUUGAACCGCAUGGUUCAAUAGUGAAAUACGGUUUUGCUGUCUCUUAUAGAUGGAUCCGCGCCGCAUUAGCUAGUUGGUAAGGUAACGGCUUACCAAGGCUACGAUGCGUAGCCGACCUGAGAGGGUGAUCGGCCACACUGGAACUGAGACACGGUCCAGACUCCUACGGGAGGCAGCAGUAGGGAAUCUUCCGCAAUGGGCGCAAGCCUGACGGAGCAACGCCGCGUGAGUGAUGAAGGUCUUCGGAUCGUAAAACUCUGUUAUUAGGGAAGAACAGAUGUCUAAGUAAAUAUGCAGGUCUUGACGGUACCUGAUCAGAAAGCCACGGCUAACUACGUG